GACGAACGCUGGCGGCGUGCCUAACACAUGCAAGUCGAACGGAAAGGUCCUGCUUUUGUGCGGUGCUCGAGUGGCGAAGGGGUGAGUAACACGUGAGUAACCUGUCCCUGACUUUGGGAUAACUUCAGGAAACAGGGGGUCAUACCGCAUAGGAGCUCUUGCUGCAUGUUGGGCGUUGGAAAGAUUCGGCUGUUGGGGAUGGACUCGCGGCUUAUCCGCUUGUUGGUGGGGUAGUGGCUUACCAAGGCUUUGACGGGUAGCCGGCCUGGGAGGGGGACCGGCCACAUUGCGACUGAGAUACGGACCAGACUCGUACGGGAGGCAGCAGUGGGGAAUAUUGCACAGUGGGCGGAAGCCUGAUGUAGCAACGCCGCGUGCGGGAUGACGGGCUUCGGGUUGUAAACCACUGUCGCAUGUGACGAAGCGUGAGUGACGGUAACGGGUAAAGAAGCACCGGCUAACUACGUG
Molecule: ribosomal RNA, 468 nt
Filed under: uncultured bacterium
Lineage: Bacteria
Description: partial 16S ribosomal RNA
Rfam family: Bacterial small subunit ribosomal RNA
Source: RNAcentral